Molecule: long non-coding RNA, 206 nt
Filed under: Panax ginseng (ginseng)
Lineage: Eukaryota; Viridiplantae; Streptophyta; Magnoliopsida; Apiales; Araliaceae
Description: long non-coding RNA (PGIN_LNC003710)
Source: RNAcentral
UUAUUUUUAUUUUUAUUUUUAUUAUUAUUAUUAUUAUUAGGAUUAUUAUUACUCCCUCCGUCCCAUAGUUAUAGGCUGAUUUUCCAUUUUGAGAUGUCCCAAUAUAUAGGCUACUUACUAUUUAUAAAAUUUAGUUGGUUCAUUAUUUUACUUUUAUUCCCUUAUAAUAAAUAUUCAACCAUUACUCUUUUUUUGAAGAAACAACC